AUAUGCAUUUGGACUGGGCAAGCC
Molecule: non-coding RNA, 24 nt
Filed under: Arabidopsis thaliana (thale cress)
Lineage: Eukaryota; Viridiplantae; Streptophyta; Magnoliopsida; Brassicales; Brassicaceae
Source: RNAcentral